CGCAGAGCAAGGUGGUGGGCAACACCCACCCGGGGCAACCCGCGGGAAAGUGCCACAGAGAACAGACCGCCGCUCUCUCCGUUCAUUCGGGAAGAGGGGUAAGGGUGAAACGGUGGUGUAAGAGACCACCAGCGUGCCGGGUGACCGGGGCGGCUAGGUAAACCCCACCUGGAGCAAGAUCAAGAAGCCGUUCCUCUUCGGAGGAACGGUGCGCACACGUUCGAGGGCUGCUCGCCCGAGUGUGCGGGUAGAUCGCCCGAGGCUGUCGGCAACGGCAGCCCUAGAUGGAUGGUCGCCAACCGGGGCCACGCAAGAAACCCCGGCGA
Molecule: unclassified non-coding RNA, 326 nt
Filed under: Luteococcus japonicus
Lineage: Bacteria; Bacillati; Actinomycetota; Actinomycetes; Propionibacteriales; Propionibacteriaceae
Description: partial ribonuclease P RNA
Rfam family: Bacterial RNase P class A
About the family: Ribonuclease P (RNase P) is a ubiquitous endoribonuclease, found in archaea, bacteria and eukarya as well as chloroplasts and mitochondria.
Source: RNAcentral